Non-coding RNA from Salmo salar (Atlantic salmon), 54 nucleotides. The record is from Rfam. Lineage: Eukaryota; Metazoa; Chordata; Actinopteri; Salmoniformes; Salmonidae.
AAUGCACCAAUUUGUAAGCCGCUCUGGAUAAGAGCGUCUGCUAAAUGACGUAAA